RNAcentral lists this ribosomal RNA (457 nucleotides) under uncultured bacterium. Its description in RNAcentral is "bacterial SSU rRNA". It matches the Rfam family "Bacterial small subunit ribosomal RNA", at positions 28 to 464 of the family's 1533-position model. The record is from RNAcentral.
GACGAACGCUGGCGGCGUGCCUAAUACAUGCAAGUAGAACGCACAGUUUAUACCGUAGCUUGCUACACCAUAGACUGUGAGUUGCGAACGGGUGAGUAACGCGUAGGUAACCUGCCUGGUAGCGGGGGAUAACUAUUGGAAACGAUAGCUAAUACCGCAUAAUAUUAAUUAUUGCAUGAUAAUUGAUUGAAAGGUGCAAUUGCACCACUACCAGAUGGACCUGCGUUGUAUUAGCUAGUAGGUGAGGUAACGGCUCACCUAGGCGACGAUACAUAGCCGACCUGAGAGGGUGAUCGGCCACACUGGGACUGAGACACGGCCCAGACUCCUACGGGAGGCAGCAGUAGGGAAUCUUCGGCAAUGGACGAAAGUCUGACCGAGCAACGCCGCGUGAGUGAAGAAGGUUUUCGGAUCGUAAAGCUCUGUUGUAAGAGAAGAACGGGUGUGAGAGUGGAAA